This 233-nucleotide unclassified non-coding RNA is filed under the name Hevea brasiliensis (rubber tree). The record is from RNAcentral. Lineage: Eukaryota; Viridiplantae; Streptophyta; Magnoliopsida; Malpighiales; Euphorbiaceae.
CCGGGGCUAUCAGCAACAUCACCAGAAAACCUAGCUUCUCCUCGGUUCUCCUCGAUUGUAUUCGAAUUUGUUACUACUUCUCUAUCGCUUUUUACAACAGAUAUCAUUGCAAGAACUAGAGCAAAUUCGAAACCCUAGAAAUCUAUUAUUUUAAAGGCUCGAAUACAGAUUAGGCAUACCCUGUUUUGUCGCCUGGUGAGAGCAAUUUGGUUUGUUUGUUUCGUAAGAAAGUG